GUGCUCACUUCAGCAGCACGUAUACUAAAAUUGGAAUGAUACAGAGAAGAUUAGCAUGGCCCCUGCACAAAGAUGACACGCAAAUUCGUGAAGCGUUCCAUUUUUUU
RNAcentral lists this small nuclear RNA (107 nucleotides) under Saimiri boliviensis boliviensis (Bolivian squirrel monkey). Lineage: Eukaryota; Metazoa; Chordata; Mammalia; Primates; Cebidae. The record is from RNAcentral.